Molecule: non-coding RNA, 917 nt
Organism: Paramuricea clavata
Lineage: Eukaryota; Metazoa; Cnidaria; Anthozoa; Malacalcyonacea; Plexauridae
Source: the annotation of a GenBank genome assembly
CGUUGAGCUAGACAUUUUGCUAAAUAAUUAUAAAAUCGAAUUAGUAAAAGAGAUUAGUUUUCUCGGGGUGAUCCUAGAUGAACAUCUCACGUGGAAAUCCCAUAUAUCGUACAUAGCCAGGAAAAUUUCGAAAUCGAUUGGGAUUAUAAAAAAGGCAAGCUUUUACGUUUCUAAAUCGUCGUUAGUUUUGUUAUACUAUUCUCUUAUUUAUCCAUAUAUGCAAUAUUGUAUACUAGUCUGGGGCUCCACUUAUCCGUCAAAUUUAAAUCGUAUUGUGUUGUUGCAAAAGCGUGUUAUUAAAAUAAUAAACCACGAGGUAUAUGACGCUCAUACAGAGCCUAUUUUCAAAGAACUUGAGUUGCUGACUUUCCAUCAAGUGUAUUUGUUUCACUUAGGUAAAUUUAUGUUCCUGUAUCAUAAACAAAGGUUACCACUCAAUUUUAAUACUUUUUUUCAUCGAGUUAGUGAAAUUCAUGCGUAUAAUACGCGGAAUUUGAAUUUAUAUUCCAUUCCAUUAUGUAGAACAAAUAUUAGACAAUUUUCUGUUAACUACCAAGGUGUAAAAUUGUUUAAUUCACUCAGUCAUGAUAUUCGCGAUGCUUCAUCUGUUGGCUGUUUUAGACAAAGACUAAAAGAAUACUUAUUAAAUUUAUAGUUUUCUGUCCAUUUAUCACUUUUUCUUUUCCUCUUUAAUUGUACUUUAAUUUGUAUUAGUUUGUAUUAGCUAUAUGUAAUUAUGUGUAAUUGUGUGUCUCUCUGGCUUGAUCAGGAUGAAAAAGGUAGCCCAAAAUUUAUAAGCCUUAUGGUUUCUCUUGGGCUCCCUUGCCAGUAUAAUUUAUUUAUUUAUGAAUGUUGUAUUUUUUAUUUAUUUAUUUUUUUUGGCAAAAUAAAUUGACUUGACUUGACUUGACUUGACU